Molecule: ribosomal RNA, 504 nt
Filed under: uncultured bacterium
Lineage: Bacteria
Description: partial 16S ribosomal RNA
Rfam family: Bacterial small subunit ribosomal RNA
Source: RNAcentral
AUUGAACGCUGGCGGCAGGCCUAACACAUGCAAGUCGAACGGUAGCACAGAGAGCUUGCUCUCGGGUGACGAGUGGCGGACGGGUGAGUAAUGUCUGGGAAACUGCCCGAUGGAGGGGGAUAACUACUGGAAACGGUAGCUAAUACCGCAUAACGUCGCAAGACCAAAGUGGGGGACCUUCGGGCCUCACACCAUCGGAUGUGCCCAGAUGGGAUUAGCUAGUAGGUGGGGUAAUGGCUCACCUAGGCGACGAUCCCUAGCUGGUCUGAGAGGAUGACCAGCCACACUGGGACUGAGACACGGUCCAGACUCCUACGGGAGGCAGCAGUGGGGAAUAUUGCACAAUGGGCGCAAGCCUGAUGCAGCCAUGCCGCGUGUAUGAAGAAGGCCUUCGGGUUGUAAAGUACUUUCAGCGGGGAGGAAGGUGUUGAGGUUAAUAACCUCAGCAAUUGACGUUACCCGCAGAAGAAGCACCGGCUAACUCCGUGCCAGCCGCCGCAGUAA